UGAGGAAUAUUGGUCAAUGGGCGAGAGCCUGAACCAGCCAAGUAGCGUGAAGGAUGACUGCCCUAUGGGUCGUAAACUUCUUUUAUAAAGGAAUAAAGUCGAGUAUGGAUACCCGUUUGCAUGUACUUUAUGAAUAAGGAUCGGCUAACUCCGUGCCAGCAGCCGCGGUAAUACGGAGGAUCCGAGCGUUAUCCGGAUUUAUUGGGUUUAAAGGGAGCGUAGAUGGAUGUUUAAGUCAGUUGUGAUAUUUUGCGUCUCAACCGUAAAAUUGCUGUUGAUACUUGAUUUUUUGAGUGCAGUUGAGGCAGGCGGAAUUCGUGGUGUAGCUGUGAAAUGCUUAGAUAUCACGAAGAACUCCGAUUGCGAAGGCAGCCUGCUAAGCUGCAACUGACAUUGAGGCUCGAAAGUGUGGGUAUCGAACAGG
Molecule: ribosomal RNA, 424 nt
Filed under: uncultured bacterium
Lineage: Bacteria
Description: bacterial SSU rRNA
Rfam family: Bacterial small subunit ribosomal RNA
Source: RNAcentral